Dunckerocampus dactyliophorus (ringed pipefish) is the source of this 8070-nucleotide RNA transcript. RefSeq lists it as uncharacterized. The transcript is spliced from 3 exons. NCBI's taxonomy places the organism in Eukaryota, Metazoa, Chordata, Actinopteri, Syngnathiformes, Syngnathidae. The record is from RefSeq and is a predicted model, not a curated record.
AUAUACAUUUUGUAAAAAAAAAAGUUCUAACAUUGUUUUGUGCUAUCAACAUUGGGAGUUUUUGCUAAAUUUUGUCAUUUUUAGCGGUUUUCUUUUUAAUUUUAUUUCUACAAUCAGGGACACAAUAGGCCCCUGUGCCGCACUUUGGACACCCCUGCAUUAACUGGUACUGAAUAAAGAGUUUAGGUUUCAUGCUACUUUAAAAGGAAAGUGCACUUUUGCACUUUGGCUCGCGGCCUGAGGCGUUGUGAGCGAGUGUGUGAAGCUAGUAGCUAGCUGGCUAGUAGCUAGCCUGUGUGGUGUGGCGAGAUGUCACUACGCCAGUAACGUAGUUCUUGGGCGUAACAAUGUUAAUAACAAUAAUAAUGACAACGCGGUUCAUAUGCAGCUCACAUGAUGGAAAUGGAGUGUUGUCGGUGCUUUUUGGAGGUUUUUCUAGAAGGCUUCCUAGGCGGUGAAGAAGUAGAUUAUUUUCAUUAUGCCUAAUUCACAUAUAUUUACAUUAUUUAGUUGACUUACAUUAUUAUGCAUCAUAAUUAACAUAUAUCUAUAUUACUUUGUUGAUUUGCAUUGCUAUGCAUUAUAGUUUAUAUUCACAUUACUUAGUAGUUACUUGGGCAACAUACUUAAGAUAUUCACGCACACACAUCCUGGUUAUAUGUUAUUUGCUGUGUUGGUCUUGUGAGCCUACAGGGUUCAGAGGAAGGACAACGUUGAUAACAGGAUGUCCCAGGCAAAACCCCCACCGGCUGAGUGCACACAAAUGACAGUUUCACUCCAAUGGACAAGCUUUAUCGAGCAUCUGGUGGACUUCAAAAGAUCUCAUCGCCAACCCCCUGCACGAGCUGAUUGGUCCACGAUCGCCAGACCUCCUGCAUACUACACGAUCUCAAAAUGUAUAAAAUUGCCGGGCAGGGAAAGAAAGGGUGCCUUAUUCCAGCUGCGCUGUAGUAAGACCCGCUUACUUGUAGGCAUACAGGGACUGUUAUAGGCCCGGACGUCUGUACUAGAAACUUUUUGUCAGGAAUAGAUCUCACUGGUUUAUAGUCUUUGGUUUGAUUAUUUAGACUCCCAUAUCCUCAGAUAGAAUUCCACGCUUCAGUUUUGGCACCCAACGUGGGAGGGGGGGAGUUCGGAAGGUGGCUUUUUGGAUGUUGUUUUUUUCUGGUCAUCCCAUUGCUGUUCAUCUCCUGAGUGCACUCUCUCUAAGAAAGGUAAGCGGAAAACCUGUUGAUUUAAAAUCCAAAUUUCUGCAUAUUGACUUUAUCAAAAUUAUGGAGAUGAAGGGAAAUGGUAUAAUGACUGUGAGAAGUAAUUCUUUGUAGUAGAAUACGUCUAGACAUAUUGUGUUAUUUGAUUUGUAUUUUUUUUUUUUUUCCCGGCGGCGACCGGUGAGGUUUAAAUUGGGUUGUAGGCCCUCCAGCGGCGAUCUGGUAAACUACAGGUUUGGUCCUUGUUGGAUAGGUCCAAAAAGAAUUGUUUGUGUGAUUUAGUUGAUAUUUUACUUUAUUUUAUUGUCGGUGACGACCGGUAACGUUUGUUGUGUUUGCCUCCCUCAAGUGGCGAAUUGGUAAACUACAAUAAGUAAGGGUGGAGUCUUUUUCGGCUCGAUCCGAUAAAGAACCGUUUGUGUGAUUGUUUUGAUAUUUGUGUGAUUUUUAAUUUUAACGUGGGUGAGUGUGAAAGUUGUGAGUGACGUGAGAAUGGAUGGAGAGUUUGACCGUGAGUGUGACGAGUAUGGCAGGUGCAGAAGCGCACCUUGGAUGCAAACAGAGGAUUACUUGGCAAAAGUGCAGGAGUGGAAUGGAUAAAAAUAAACAAGGUAAGGAAAAGGAGAAGUUGAAACGUAUGUGGGCUGAGGUUGAAUUAGGCGGUGGAUGAACUGUGUAAUAAAUUUAAAAGGACAGAGUAGGAUGCAAGGUGUAAAGUUAUGCAGUUGAGGGAACAAGUUAAGUUGGCAGGAUGGGUAGCGAAGAGACACGAAGAAAGAAUAAUAGGAAGUAGAUAAACAUAGGGUGUGGUUGCAGCAGCUGAUUUUGGCGGCUGUGGAUUUAACUAAAAAAAAAGUGAUGCUGACUCGCGCUUCUUCAAAUCCACUGGGUUCGGAGUUAAGUGCGCUGGAAGCAUCAUCAGAUAAGAUCAUGCAGACUAAGAUAGACUAAAAGAGGGAAUGUUGUUCUAUUCUAUCCUGAUUUGUGUAACGAGUUUGAAAAACUGUUGUUAAUUUCAGCAAAACUCGUAAAGCAUUAUUGUUAUCUUUUGUAUGAGUAAAUGUUUAUGUCGUAGUUUUGUAUGUGCGAUUGUUGCGUCAGUUUGUGUUGGAGCGUGGUGACGUAGUUACGUCACGAGGCGCGCAUCUUUCUGAAAUGGACAAGGUAAGACGUGAAAUGUGCUUUUUCCCAGAAAGUUGCGUAAAAUGUGUAUGAAGAGUUAAUGUGUUGUGUCGUCGUAGACUGUGUUAUGUUGUAUGUUACAUUGUGGAUGUCUAGUGAGAGUUUGGACUGACGUGUUUAUUGUUGUGUACACUCUAAAAUUACGGUUUGCUAAGGAAGUAGAGGUUAGCUUUGCUAGCACGGUUUACAGUUGCUCAGCAACAGCGUCGCGUCUCUACGACUUCACCGCGGUAUGAGAGACAUGGCGGGUUAUUUCCUGUAAUGCGACUGGCUGGUAAAGUUAAUGUUGACUUUGACGAAGAGACUGAUAAACCUUGGACUGACAAAUAACGACAUGGUUAGAGGACGGCUUUGCAUGGAAAGGACUUGACUGACCAACCCCGCCCUGACUCGCGCCAGAGAACCAGUGUUCAAGUGUCGGUUUGACGAAGGACUUUGAGACUAGAUUUUUGAAAUUGGCAAAAGAGUGGUUCAAGAAAUGCAUGAUAAAUCCAGACAAGAUCGAUCUCAUAGUACACCUAUUCGUGUGGCCACUCCCCCACCGGAGGCUGGUACAGGAAGCCAGAGACGGAGUGAAGCCCCGCCAAAAUAAAACGGAGGAGAGAGUGGAUUAUGAUAACUUUAUUGAAGCAAGAAUGAGUAGCUAAUAAAAACUCAGGACCCGGGAGAGGAGGACAGCCCUCGCCGAGGGAUGUUUCUUCUUUGUGUAGACGGACACGGGCCAGGGGUGGCUGAUGGUGGCAGCAGGGGUCAUUGAAGCGGUGCAUACACACAAGCAAGAUAGCAUCCUAGUGGGGCCUGUUUCCUGUGUGGCUCUUUUGAUCAUUGGGCCAGGAACUGUCCACUGAACCCCAAGCUCAGCGACACCAGCAGGGUGUCCUACCUCCCCCACAGGCAGGACCACCACAAGGCAGAGGCGGUUUCCAAGCGGCCACCAGAAGGCGUGGGAGAGCAUAUCCCUGGACGCCAGGCAGAUGGCAGGCUGAUCAUCACACUCAAGGGGGACAGUACUACACAGAUGCCCCCAGCUGGAGACGACCCCUACUGGCAGGCAUAGGGACGCCUGGGGGGCCUUGGAAGCAUGGACUUGGCAGAACCAAUGCUUCAAUGGAUUGUUAAUGGCCGAAAGAUUCGAGGCUUGGUGGACAUUGGGGCAACUUAUUCCACCCUGAAAACAAACAUUCACAAAUCACAACUGUUUAACAGCAGACCACUGGACACUGAUAUGGCGGGAACAAAAGACUGUCCAUUCUAUUUCCUGAUGGCACAUACCUGGACUGCAAUGACAGCACAAGAGGGGGACAGUGGCUGAUGAAAGCACUUCCAACAGCACAGACAGUGGACAUUUAUUGGGCGGAGCUUGACCCUGAAACACCUGUGUCAAAUAAAGGUGUAUUUACUAUGUUCAACGUGUGGAAACCUUGGAUCUGCUCUUGUGCUACUUAUAUGCAACCCAUCGACCCGCUACAUUGCAUUCUAUUUUAUGAUCGUUACCAUGAUCAAAUGUAUGCCGAUAAAAUAACACCAUUUUUAGGUGCAAACACCUGAGCGCUCUCACUGAUUGGCAGCCCUCCGAGGCGUCUCAGGUUCAAUAUUCACCAUCAUCUAAAGGGUAUAGAAUUGUAAGGGGAGGAUGACUGACUCGGCUGUUCUACGACAUCAGGUACUCUCUCGGGAGCCUGGGAGGGACCUCACAGACAAUUAACUUCGCCAGGACAUGCUGGCCUCAAUCCCGGAGGGGAUGUGGUCCACCGGUCCUUUUGAUGUAGGGUAUUGCUCAAAAUAUGCUGAUAUUGAACUAACUAUUUCUGAUGAACAAGUUGUUUGCAGACAGCAGUAACGUUGGCCGGCUGAAGCUGAUGAGGGCAUGGAGAGCACGAUGUGUGGGCUGUGGGAUGCGGGGGUGCUGGAAGUGUCCAGUUCCCCAUGGUCCACACCUUUAGAGACCGGUGAAAAAGCAGACGGUAAGAGUAACCGUAUGGCACAUGAUUUGAGAGUCAUUAUGAUAUCACAGUGAUUCUAGUACUUCCAGUCCCGGACCCACACAGAGUGUUGACCUCAUUGUCUCCCCUCUAUAAGUGGUUCACAGUGUGGUGAAGCUUUUUCGGUGUGAUUUCAAGGUUUCCAAACAGAAGCUGCAAUGCUGUAGAAAGGCGGUCAUUUUUCUUGGACGUGCAUGGUCUGCCCAGGGCUCAGCCAUGUCUGCAGCCCAUCACUCCUCCAUUUUACAUAAUCCCAAACCAAAUACGGUAAAAUAAAUGCUUUUCUUUCUUAGGUCUCUGCGGCAAGAAUUACAUUCCCUGCUUCGUUGAAUACACCGCACCACUCAGAGCUCACAUUUGUCAAUAAGUUCUUUUUCAGACGGCUGCUGCUUCAGACACUCAGAUGGGAACCUGUGUGCAGCUGCCGCUGUUGUCCGACAUGACUCAUCUUCUGCCACUUUUCUGCUGGUGACUUCUGACGUUUACAUGACUGACCCUUUGGCCCAGGGGGCGGAAGUGCUGGCUUUAUGCUUGGCCUUGGAGGCUGGAGCUUGACAAGACAAGACUAUUUACUGUGACUCUGCCUAUGCUGUGGGCGCCGCUGUCCUCAACCUGCCUGUGUGGCAGCGGACGGGUUUCGUGACAGCUAAAGGUACCCCAAUAGCCCACAGGCCUUUGAUUGAAUGUUUAGCUAAAAGUAUUCAUCUACCUGCUUCAUUGGUUAUUGUGUAAACUGCAGGACAUAGCUAGGCUAACACCCUUUAAGCUAGGGGCAAUGACGCAGCAGACCAGGCUGCAAAAGGCAGGGGGCUGGGUACCGCCCCUCCGAUUUGAUGAUAACUUGUUCUCAGCUGCCUGAUCACCAGCUGGAUAACCCAUUGUCUUUGGACGUUAUUGCGUCCCACCAUCGUUCUGCUUCUCCGGAAGAGGUAAGUUUUUGGCGGUCCAAGGGUGCCUAUCUCACAUCCGACGGGGUGUGGGUGGGCCCCAAUGGGUGUCCUGCUCUUCUUAUGGGUCAGUUGUUUACUCAGGCUCUUUCCGAGGCUCACGGAUUGGCAUAUGUGGGUCCUCUGGUAAUGCUGUCGAAUCUAAACAACUGGUGGCAUUCUAAUAUGAAAGACCUUAUUUAGAAUCAUUGUAACUUUUGUUCCUCUUUUAAGCCCAUUCCAAGUAAUUUGGCUACCGCCCUGUGGCCAGGUGCGGAAAUUUCCCUGGAAGUUUAAAAUCCUAUUGGAAGCAGUUGCAUGCCCUUGCUGUGUCUGUUUCUCAACAGGUUCGUGACUCAGCUGUGCCUCCCUCUGCGACUCCUCCCUCACUUUUGGUCGCUGACAAGGUCUUCCUGAAGAGGUUCUCCAGGAAGUGGUCAGAGCCUAGGUGGAAUGGGUGUUUCCCAGUCCAAGAGGGGUGGAGAGUUAAUUAAUUUAGUAUAAUACAUAUUUGAUGGCUCCGCCAAGGCUGCCCUUUGUCACCGAUUCUGUUUAUAAUUUUCAGGGACAGAAUUUCUAGGCACAGGUGUCAAGGGAGUCCAGUUCGGGGGCACUAGGAUCUCAUCUCUGCUAUUUGCAGACGAUGUGGUCCUGAUGGCCUCAUUGGGCUGUGACCUGCAGCGUUUACUGGGACGGUUUGCAUCUGAGUGUGAAGCUUCUGGGAUGAGACUCAGCACCUCCAAAUCCGAGGCCAUGGUUCUCAGUCGGAAAAGGGUGGAUUGCUCCCUCUGGGUUGGGAAUGAGGUCCUGCCCCAGGUGGAGGAGUUCAAGUAUCUCGGGGUCUUGUUCACGAGUGAGGGAAGGUAGGAGUGUGAGGUCGAUAGGCGGAUCGGCACAGCGUCUGCAGUAAUGCGGUCGCUGUACCGGACCGUCGUGGUGAAGAGAGAGCUGAGCUGGAAGGCAAAGCUCUCAAUUUACCGUUCAAUCUAUGUUCCCACCCUCAUCUAUGGUCAUGAGCUUUGGGUCAUGACCGAAAGAACGAGAUCGCGGAUACAAGCGGCUGAAAUGAGUAUUCUUCGUAGGGUGGCGGGACUCACCCUAAGAGACAGGGUGAGGAGCUCGGUUAUCCGGGAGGAGCUCAGAGUAGAGCCGCUGCUCCUUCACAUCGAGAGGAGCCAGCUGAGGUGGCUCGGGCAUCUAGUCCGGAUGCCUCCCGGACGCCUCCCUGGUGAGGUGUUUCGGGCAUGCCCAGCCGGGAGAAGGCCCCGGGGAAGACCUAGGAGGGAUUAUGUCUCACAGCUGGCCUGGGAACGCCUUGGUGUCCUCACAGUGGAGCUGGAGGAGGUGGUCAGGGACCGGGAAGUCUGGGCUUCCCUACUGAGAUUGCUGCCCCCGCGACCCGGACCCGGGUGUCUUCAACCUUUUCUCCCGUCUCUCGAGCCGAUGUGUGGUGGUGGUGCGGAGGAACAGUACUCUUCGAUCGCCUUCCUGCUAAAAGCAUGACCUGUUUGUAUGCAUUGGUUUCUCUCAUUCUACCGGUAAGUGUGAUUCCGGCUUCUAUAGAUCAUUAGAUGGAUGCGGUCGACUCAGUGGCCCUCCUGCCACCAACACACACUCGAAGACGUCGUGACACCUCCCACCAUUUGGCUCAGCGGACUGAUCCCACUUACGUUGACGCCUUCGGGGUUCCUCAGGGUGUCCCGGAUGAAUACAAACUCGUUAACCAUGUGGAUGCUGGAUUUGAGUCUAUUCUUUCGUGGAUAACUGUUAACCAAAAUGUUUACCGCAUUAAUUAUAUUCAUUACAACAUUCAGCGUUACACAGGCCGGGUUUCAGGCAGUCCAUGAACAGCUGACAGUGACCUCGCUGAUGACCUUCCAGAAUCACAUUGCUUUGGCUGCUGAUGGUAAACUUACCCAAGUACUAGUAGAUGGCCUGCGCACCUUAAACCGUAAGAUGAAAGAUCAUUCGGGUGUGAAUACUUCGUUUGGGACAUGUGGAUGGCUUAUUUUGGGCAGUACAAAAACCUCAUCUCUUCUUUCUUCAAUUGCUGUGUUUGCUACUUUGCUUACCGUAUGUUGUUGUGGCCUCUUUCGAGGCCAAGAGGGGGAAUGAAGAAGUAGAUUAUUUUCAUUAUGCCUAAUUCACAUAUAUUUACAUUAUUUAGUUGACUUAUAUUAUUAUGCAUCAUAAUUAACGUAUAUCUAUAUUACUUUGUUGAUUUGCCUUGCUAUGCAUUAUAGUUUAUAUUCACAUUACUUAGUAGUUGCUUGGGCAUCAUACUUAAGAUAUUCACGCACACACAUCCUUACUUGGGUUUAACCUUUGGCCAGAGCAGACGUGCUAGGUCAACGGUUAUAUGUUAUUUGCUGUGUUGGUCUUGUGAGCCUACAGGGUUCAGAGGAAGGACAACGUUGAUAACAGGAUGUCCCAGGCAAAACCCCCACCGGCUGAGUGCACACAAAUGACAGUUUCACUCCAAUGGACAAGCUUUAUCGAGCAUCUGGUGGACUUCAAAAGAUCUCAUCGCCAACCCCCUGCACGAGCUGAUUGGUCCACGAUCGCCAGACCUCCUGCAUACUACACAAUCUCAAAAUGUAUAAAAUUGCCGGGCAGGGAAAGAAAGGGUGCCUUAUUCCAGCUGCGCUGUAGUAAGACCCGCUUACUUGUAGGCAUACAGGGACUGUUAUAGGCCCGGACGUCUGUACUAGAAACUUUUUGUCAGGAAUAAAUCUCACUGGUUUAUAGUCUUUGGUUUGAUUAUUUAGA